RNAcentral lists this ribosomal RNA (301 nucleotides) under uncultured bacterium. RNAcentral's name for it is "partial 16S ribosomal RNA". It matches the Rfam family "Bacterial small subunit ribosomal RNA", at positions 509 to 809 of the family's 1533-position model. The record is from RNAcentral.
CAGCAGCCACGGGAAUACGUAGGGUGCAAGCGUUAAUCGGAAUUACUGGGCGUAAAGGGAGCGCAGGCGGACAUAUAAGUCCAUCUUAAAAGUGCGGGGCUCAACCCCGUGAGGGGAUGGAAACUGUAUGCCUUGAGUGCAGGAGAGGAAAGCGGAAUUCCCAGUGUAGCGGUGAAAUGCGUAGAUAUUGGGAGGAACACCAGUGGCGAAGGCGGCUUUCUGGACUGCAACUGACGCUGAGGCUCGAAAGCCAGGGGAGCGAACGGGAUUAGAUACCCCCGUAGUCCCUGUCUCUUAUACA